UGCCAGUCGUGAUUUGUGAAGUGUGGGGCAGUUCUUAACCCCUCCACUGUGAUUGGCACAGAUUUCACCUUCACUGGUAGCCUGGGAACAUAUAGUCCCAUGUCUUUCUCUGCCUCUGUGGUGGAUAGUGGAGUGUUUCCCAUGUGGUAUUGGUGUGCUGGAUAUCCCUUCACUGGUAGCCUGGUAACAUAUUGUCCCAGGUCUUUCUCUGCCUCUGUGGUGGAUAGUGGAGUGUUUCCCAUGUGGUAUUGAUGUGCUGGAUAUCCCUUCACUGGUAGCCUGGUAACAUAUUGUCCCAGGUCUUUCUCUGCCUCUGUGGUGGAUAGUAGAGUGUUUCCCAUGUGGUAUUGGUGUGCUGGAUAUCCCUUCACUGGUAGCCUGGUAACAUACACUCCCAGGUCUUUCUCUGCCUCUGUGGUGGAUAGUGGAGUGUUUCCCAUGUGGUAUUGGUAUGCUGGAUAUCCCUUCACUGGUAGCCUGGUAACAUAUAGUCCCAGGUCUUUCUCUGCCUCUGUGGUGAAUAGUGGAGUGUUUCCCAUGUGGUAUUGGUGUGCUGGAUAUCCCUUCACUGGUAGCCUGGUAACAUACACUCCCAGGUCUUUCUCUGCCUCUGUGGUGGAUAGUGGAGUGUUUCCCAUGUGGUAUUGGUGUGCUGGAUAUCCCUUCACUGGUAGCCUGGUAACAUACACUCCCAGGUCUUUCUCUGCCUCUGGUGGAUAGUGGAGUGUUUCCCAUGUGGUAUUGGUGUGCUGGAUAUCCCUUCACUGGUAGCCUGGUAACAUACACUCCCAGGUCUUUCUCUGCCUCUGUGGUGGAUAGUGGAGUGUUUCCCAUGUGGUAUUGGUGUGCUGGAUAUCCCUUCACUGGUAGCCUGGUAACAUACACUCCCAGGUCUUUCUCUGCCUCUGUGGUGGAUAGUGGAGUGUUUCCCAUGUGGUAUUGGUGUGCUGGAUAUCCCUUCACUGGUACCCUGGUAACAUACACUCCCAGGUCUUUCUCUGCCUCUGUGGUGGAUAGUAGAGUGUUUCCCAUGUGGUAUUGGUGUGCUGGAUAUCCCCUCCCAAAGUGCAUGGCUUUACAUUUUUCUUUAUUAAAUUAUAGCA
Molecule: long non-coding RNA, 1103 nt
Organism: Eriocheir sinensis (Chinese mitten crab)
Lineage: Eukaryota; Metazoa; Arthropoda; Malacostraca; Decapoda; Varunidae
Exons: 3
Source: RefSeq, a predicted model, not a curated record